RNAcentral lists this ribosomal RNA (549 nucleotides) under Trichoderma asperellum. RNAcentral describes it as "eukaryotic LSU rRNA". The stretch from base 160 to 313 matches the Rfam family "5.8S ribosomal RNA". The record is from RNAcentral. Lineage: Eukaryota; Fungi; Ascomycota; Sordariomycetes; Hypocreales; Hypocreaceae.
UGUGAACGUUACCAAACUGUUGCCUCGGCGGGGUCACGCCCCGGGUGCGUCGCAGCCCCGGAACCAGGCGCCCGCCGGAGGAACCAACCAAACUCUUUCUGUAGUCCCCUCGCGGACGUAUUUCUUUACAGCUCUGAGCAAAAAUUCAAAAUGAAUCAAAACUUUCAACAACGGAUCUCUUGGUUCUGGCAUCGAUGAAGAACGCAGCGAAAUGCGAUAAGUAAUGUGAAUUGCAGAAUUCAGUGAAUCAUCGAAUCUUUGAACGCACAUUGCGCCCGCCAGUAUUCUGGCGGGCAUGCCUGUCCGAGCGUCAUUUCAACCCUCGAACCCCUCCGGGGGAUCGGCGUUGGGGAUCGGGACCCCUCACACGGGUGCCGGCCCCUAAAUACAGUGGCGGUCUCGCCGCAGCCUCUCCUGCGCAGUAGUUUGCACAACUCGCACCGGGAGCGCGGCGCGUCCACGUCCGUAAAACACCCAACUUUCUGAAAUGUUGACCUCGGAUCAGGUAGGAAUACCCGCUGAACUUAAGCAUAUCAAUAAGCGGAGGAA